RNAcentral lists this long non-coding RNA (25404 nucleotides) under Sorghum bicolor (sorghum). RNAcentral's name for it is "long non-coding RNA (SBIC_LNC016328)". The record is from RNAcentral. Lineage: Eukaryota; Viridiplantae; Streptophyta; Magnoliopsida; Poales; Poaceae.
GUCUGGUUCCUGGCGUCUGGUGCCUAAACCUAGCUGAGCCAGGCAGCCUGUACACCGGACGCACAGGCACAGCGUCCGGUGCUUCUCGGCCAGCGUUCGGUGAGUGUUUUCUCAGCGAUAAACACUCCCGCGACUUCUCCAAAUUUCCCACCAACGCAAUAGAAAAUAUACACUUAAUUUUCUCAAAGGAACCCACACCCCUCUCGACCCUAGGAACUCCUCCUCCUUUGUAAAGUGUGCUAACACCAACAAGUGUCCACCACCAAAGUGCAUGUGUGUUAGCUUUUCACAAACAUUUGCAUCAAAGGAGUUAAGUUAGCACUUUACCAGAUCCUAAUGCAUAUGCUCAAGAUAUGGACCUAGUAGCACUUGAUUCGAGAGAUGACCGUGAUUUCCCCUCUUGAUAGUCGGCUAUCUAUCCUAAACCCGGUCAAUCACUUCUCUACUCAUCUUAGACUGACAAAAGUAAAACCCUAUGUUUAUACCUUUGCCUUGGUAACUUUGCUCCUCGUCUAUCAUUAUGAUCUCCACAUCAUGCUUCAUCUCUUUGUAAUCAUGUGGCCACCUUUCCAUGCCACCAUGCACCUUCAUCACAUGUGUUUCUUUGCCUAACUCAAAUCACUUAAAUACAAGGCAUUAGCGACUUGGUGUCAUUAAUUACCAAAACCAAACUUGGGCUUUCAAUCUCCCCCUUUUUGGUCAUUGAUGACAACCAUUACAAAGAUAUGAAAUUAAAUCAUAAUGAACUUGAAUUGCUUGUCCAAAGCAUUUUAAUCGUGAGACAAGGUUGGACAAACAUUUCAAUUACGGUUUUGGUAGUACUAGCUCCCCCUACAUAUGUGCUUCCAUGAGUUUGGUUCAAGUUUGCAAAUAUGCAUGAAUUGGAAUUUUGGGAGAUUUAUUACUACCAAAAUGAUGCUAAGGUAUAUAGAAUGGACCUUUGAAGCGUGAUACCAAUCGGAGUUGCCAAUAUACCAUUCUUAGCACCAAUGUAGCUAGACAUACAUCAAAAACUCAAGAUACGUCGUGAGAUCACAUUAUAUGUCUAGAUACCACAUGAAAAUAAAACUCUAUGCUAGAUUUCAAAGCACCAUUCAAGUUCUAUUUCUAGCAAGCACCAAUCAAACAAGAGUUGUGAAUUUAAACUUGCAAUGCAACAUCUCAUUAUGUUAGUGCACAUACAAAUGCAACAAAUGGUUCAUGAGCUUGGUCCCCCUAUUUGUGUGCUCAAGUUUAAAAAGUUUUCUCUCCUUCCUUUUGUUUCUCUGCCCCUUUUUGACUUUAUCUUUGUUUCUCUCCCCCUUUGUCAUCAAUGACCACAAAGGUUCAAAUUUUAGUGAGAAUUAAGUCAAUCAAUGUGAGGGUCAAAUUAUGGUUCAAUCUAGAUCACUUGCCUAGAGAAUGUAAUUUGGUUUUAUCCAAGGACAAGCUUUUUCACACCUCAUGAAAUAUAAGGGUUAUCUUGACCAUGUUGAAUUACACAUCAUAAGCUCAUAUUCUAGAUUCAACACUAGGCUCACAAGCUCACAAACAUGUCAUAUGCUACCACUAGAUCAAUCAAACAUACAAGCAAUAGUGGUACCAUACAUACAUCAAAAUCUUUUGAUUUUCAUGAAUGAGCCUAUUUGCCAUGCAAACAUGUCUAUAUGUUCUAAUCAUGUCCUUAGCAAAGUAUGAAUGCUAUGUCAACCAACAUUACCUUGCUUUGAGAGGCAUGUCAUAUAGAAAUGUGGGGGUGCACUCAUCUCAAGUUGGAGAAGUCAAGUAUGUUCAAUUCAUUCCUCAACUUGCAAAAUCUCUUCUCAUCAAGUGCCUUUGUGAAGAUGUCAGCUAGUUGAUCUUCGAUGCCAAUGCUUUCAAUGCUAAUGUUACCCUUUUGUUGAUGGUCUCUUAUGAAAUGGUGCCUUAUGUCAAUGUGCUUGGUUCUUGAAUGUUGAACCGGAUUUUGUGUCAUCUUGAUUGCACUCUCAUUGUCACAUAGCAAAGGCACAUUCUUGAAUUUGAUUCCAAAGUCAUUCAAGGUAGCUUUCAUCCAAAGCAAUUGUGCACAACAACUACCGGCACUAAUGUAUUCAGCCUCGGCGGUUGAUAGUGCAACACUAUUUUGUUUCUUUGAUGACCAUGAAACUAGAGACCUUCCUAGCAAUGGACAAGUGCCACUUGUGCUCAUUCUAUCAAUCUUGCAUCCACCAUAGUCGGAGUCCGAAUAUCCAAUCAAUUCAAAGUUAGACCCCUUGGGAUACCAUAAUCCAACAUCAUGAGUGCCCUUGAGUUACCUCAAUAUUCUUUUGGUUGCCUACAAGUGACUCUCUCUAGAUGAAGCUUGGUAUCUUGCACAUUUGCACACACUAAACAUCACAUCCGGCCUUGAUGCGGUGACAUAGAGCAAACUUCCAAUCAUGGACCGGUAUAGCUUUUGAUCUACCAUGUUUCCACUUUCAUCACUACCUAAUUGAUCAUUUGUGCCCAUAGGUGUGCUCAUUGGUUUAGCUUCUUGCAACCCAAACUUCUUGAUCAUGUUCUUGAUGUACUUUCCUUGUCUUACAAAAGUGCCAUUCUUCAUUUGCUUGAUUUGAAGACCAAGGAAGUAACUAAGCUCUCCAAUCAUGGACAUCUCAAACUCAUUUGCCAUCAUUCUUCUAAACUCUUCACAAAAGUCUUGAUUGGUUGAUCCAAAGAUGAUAUUAUCAACAUAGAUUUGCAACACAAACAAGUCAUUGCCUAGUUUCUUAGUGAAGAGGGUAGUGUCAACCUUUCCCAUCUUGAACCCUUUAGAGAGAAGGAAAUCUCUCAAUCUCUCAUACCAUGCUCUAGGUGCUUGCUUCAAACCAUACAAUGCCUUCUUGGUCUUGUACACAUGGUUGGGUUUCUUGUCAUCUUCAAAACCAGGAGGUUGUUCAACAUAAACUAACUCAUUGAUGUAUCCAUUGAGAAAUGCACUGUUCACAUCCAUGUAACACCCCAGUGUUAUGGUUGCAUCCUUCAUAUGCAUAACAUGAGUAUCAUCAUCUUCAUAAGUAUAUCCUGAUCAUCAUUUACCUUGGGUCAUGUCAUUUUAUGCAUAAGUGUAAUUUAACUUGCUUAAUUAUGCUUUUUAUGCUUAUGUUUGUGUGUGCCAUGCUCUUGUUUGUGUUCUAUGCCUUGGUAAAUAGUUCAUCUAUGCUUAACUCAACAUUUGGAACAAUGUUCAUGUUGGUCACAUCUCCAAAUUAAGUACCUAAGUCCUACUUUCACUUAUAGGCCCAAAAAAUCUCUUUUGCUUAGGCUUUUAAAAAGUGUUUCAUAAAAUGUUUACAUGUCAAAACUUCCUAAAUCAAAGUUGUAGCACAUUUUAUAAGGAACAAAAGUUGUUUCAUGGCCAUCUCAUGAAAAUGAUCACAACUUGAUCAAAAAGUGCUUGCAAGGCAGAUUUGAGGGCUGUUUUGACACUUAGCAAGAUUUUGCUAAGUCCUGGCGCCACCAGUUUGCUUCAUCAGUUUUGGAAACUUCAUUGUUGACGGUCCUUAAGUAUCAAAUUUAAUUAUCAAAUAAACAAAGAUAAGGAUCCAAAUGCAAUCAACAUCUAGACUUAGGGUUUUAUCUGACAGAAUUCCACGAGUUUUGGUGUUUGUCUAUUUCUGCAGGGUGAUAUUAGGAAAUAUGGAAGAAAGGCCCACACGUCGGGAUUACAUAGAGAUAUUAACGUGCCGCACAAUUAUCUUACAUCUAGAAGACUCCAGAAGCCACGGGAAUGAAGCGGAGGCGAAACGAGGCCUGGCCCUGGGCGCCUGCCCAGGAGACCAGGGUGCCCGCCCACCUCUGGAGUCCAAACAGGGCUCUCUUUCAGGAUCAAUCUCCACCGACCUAAAGGAUCAAGGAUAACCAUUCAAUCAAUGUCGGUUUGAUCCAACGGCCCAUAUUCACUUGAAGGGACUAUAAAACCAGACCCCCUGGCCCCUGGAGGAGGGAGCAUCUCAACCCUAAUUCAUUAUUCCUUAAGGGAGAAGAAGCCUAUGAUCAAGCCUAGAGCCACCACAUCAAUUAGACAUCUAGAUUAGCAUAGCUACAUAGGAUUAGAACUAGAAGGAGUCAAUCUUCGAUUGGUUUCUGGAUUUGUCAAGAGGAUUCUUGGUAAUUCUCUAAUUGUUCAUCUUUGUUCUUCAAUAUUAUGAAUAUGACUUUGUUCUACUUCAAUAUAUUGCUUAUGACUUUGCUCUACUUGUUUAUAUUCAAGAUUAUAUUGUUCUUAGUUUAUCAUAGUUAUAUACUUGGCUUAGUUAGAUUGGAUCUAUAUACAUGUUUAGGAUCGUAUAGAGUUUAUCCAUUGGAUCCUGGGGUAAAUGAUAGAUAUUGUGUAGGCGUGGUGCUUAUACCGUAUUUAUCUGUGAUUGUACCCAAUAUGCCAGAUCGCGGGGUAGUUCGUGACAGUGACAGCUUCAUUGAUUCUUAUAUAGUGCCCCUCUCAUGUAUUGGGCUGGCAGAGCAACAUUAUUACAGGGGAGUGAUUGUUGUGUUUCUCAUUUACCUUGCUAAUAUCACUAUGCAUGGGCGUAGUCUUGUCUCACAAUGAUUGCUAAGUAUAAUUGCACUAACUAUGAUAAUGCUAGACUAUAUAGUUGAGAAUAACUUAGGAAAUAUUCUUGUAGUUCGUUCUAAUUCCAUGCUAAUGACUUUCUAGAGUAUCUAAUUGAGGUGCUUAUCAUAUUUAUUAUGUGGCUAAGUUAUGCUGAUAAGAUUAAUUAUCUUUGUCACUAUUCAUUACUUUAUAUAUUCUUUAUGUGACACUUACCCCUGUAUGAAAAAGUUAGAUAAAUGUUCUCAAUUAUACAUGCAAUGAUAGAUACUCAAUCUCAUAUUCUAUUCUAUAAUCAAUAUUGAUGGUUGCUAAUCCCUUCCCAAUGGUAAAAAUAUAAAUAACGAUACCUGGAAUACUUCCCGGUUAAAAUGCUACAUCGGUAUUAAUCUGUGCGCUUGCAGAUCCCAUUCAUUAUUUAUUUUAGAUGAGCAAUUGCAUAUUUCAAUACCGUGUCUCUCAUAUCAUGCUGGGGAUGACAACUUGGCUUAAGUGGUAUGAGGGAUAGGUUUGGCAUUUUUGGCACCGUUAUCAGAAUUAGAAAACUAAGUCUACUUUUGGUAAUGAUGUUAAGAAUACCCAACAAGCAUUUUUGGCGCCGUUGCCGGGGAAGGUUGAUUACUAAUCAGGAAUGGAUAUAGAUUUUUGAGUCAUCAUUCGCAUCACUAAUCUGAUUGAGCUUAUCAAUUCUUUCAUACAGUUUUACCCCGAUAUUUUCCUAUUUUAUCUUAUGCAGGGUAAUGUAUGAAUAGAAGACAUCUUCCAGGAAACUUUGUUGACAAUCCCGAAGCAUUAUUUAGAAAAACAAGAGCCAAGCUCAAGAAGAGAUCAUCAACACUUCAGCAAGAAGCUUCAUCCAGUCAAGAAGAUCACCGGAACUUGUCUUCAGAAUUUGAAGCCAUGGCGAACAAAUCGAUCCGUGAGUUCUCAGCCCCCACUACGGAUAAUAUCCGCACUGGACCUGCUGCAGAGAUCGAUGGCAACUUUGAGCUCAAGUCUAGACUUAUCAACAUGGUGCAAUCCAACCAGUUCUGUGGAAAGGCACACGAAGAUGCUAGUGCUCAUCUCCAACACUUCCUGGAGAUUUGCAACACAUUCACCAUAUCAGGAGUCCCCGGAGAUGCUAUACUACUUCGCCUCUUCCCAUUCUCACUGUUGGGGAGAGCAAAGCAGUGGUUCUAUGCUACAAAAGAGAAGAAUACUACGUGGGCACUCUGCUCUACAAACUUUCUGGCUAAGUUCUUUCCCAUGGGCAAGACCAAUGCUCUCUGUGGGAAGAUUACAAGUUUUCAGCAACAACAUGAUAAAUCUGUUCUAGAAGCAUGGGAGUGCUUCCAAGACUACAUCCUAGAAUGUCCCCAUCAUGGAAUGGAGAGUUGGCUACUAAUGCAGACGUUUUAUCAUGGGCUCGGCAACAGUGCCCGAGAGACCAUGGAUGCUGCAGCUGGAGGAGCAUUCUUAUCACUCACCAUACCACAAGCCAUAGCUCUUGUGGAGAAGAUGGCGUCCAACCAAAGCUAGAAUGAAGAGAGGACCCAGACAUGCAAGAAAGGUGGAGGUAUGCAUCAGCUCAAGGAGGUAGACAUGCUGUCUGAAAAGCUAGACCUGCUCAUGAAGAAGCUCGACGAUAGAGCUGGAGAUAAGAAGGAAGUUAUGCACAUCUACGACUCUCACAUGACUUGUGAGGAGUGUGGAGAUACUUGACACUCAGGCAAUCACUGCCCUGAGAUGCUUGAGGAUGUGAACUACAUCAACAAUAACAACAACAACUACUACAACCGUCCCCAACAAAAUCAAGGUUGGAAUCAACAGAGGCCUAACUACUCAGGUAAUUAUCAAGGUAAUAAUUUUCCACCUCUGAGAGAGUUAGUGUCUAAUCAAGGAAAGCUAAUGGAUAACCUAUCUAAGAAAUUGGCAUCUAAUGAUAAAAUGCUAGAAAAUAUAAAUAAUAAAAUGGAUAAUUUGUCUACUGCCAUCAAGAAUCAAAUUAGCUUUAAUAAAAUGACUGAAUCUUAGUUAAAUCAAAUAGCUGCUGUUGUUCCUGCUACUAACCCCGGUAUACCAUCACAACCGGAAGGAUUACAAUCUGCAAAUCUUGUAGAUAUGUUUGAUGCAGGUAAUAACUGGAGUACCCCGUCACUGAAUUCACUACUGACCUUCUGCCGGUCAAGAGAGGCGAUCUAGGACGCCCCGUCAUCCCGAUCUCCAUCGACAUGGUGGACGUUCCAGAAGCACUCUGCGACUUUGGCUUUAGUGUCAACAUUAUGCCUAGGGUACUCUAUGAAAAAUUCUUUACAUAUCCUUUAUUAGAAACAACCAUGUGUUUGCAGAUUGCAGAUCAGGCAUUAAGUUUUCCAAAGGGAAUAUUGAAGAACCUCUGCAUCCGAGUUGGUACCUUGUACGCCCCAGCAGACUUCGUGGUGAUAGAGACCGGAAAUGAUGAGAGGGAACCCAUCAUCUUAGGGAGGCCAUUCUUAAACACCUCGGGAGCUAUCAUCUACGCUAGCGCUGCCAAGAUCAGUUUCUACAUCAAAGGGAGGAAGGAGACGUUUUCCUUCAAGAACAAGACUACACAAAUCCCAGAUCAAUCCAGACGUGAAUCAAGGAAGAGGACCAACAGGAGGAACAGGAACAAGCAAGUGUGGACCGAGUCAGCUAAGAUGAUCACUGCAGUUCAUGGAGGUCAAGAUCAUCGACUUAAGUCACCGUUUCUAACCAAGAAGGAUGACCCAGGAAUGCCAAGCAUCUAUUGCUCCAUAAAUGGAUACAACUUCUACACGACGUUUUGCGACAUCGGAUCGGGCGUCAACAUAAUGGCCGCAGUCACCUAUCGGCUCUUGUUCGGAACCAUGCCCUUAAAACCAACAUACAUUCAGCUCCAGAUGGCAGAUCAAACAUUUCAAGAGGUUAAAGGAACAUUAACUGAUGUCCUUGUCAAAAUAGACGAUCAUUUUGUCUACACAGACUUUCAGGUUAUUGACAUGGGAGAAGACGAAUACGAUCCACCCAUCAUCCUUGGAAGACCGUCCCUUAGCACCGUUAAACCAAUCAUCUACGUUGGAACUGGAGAAGUCCAUAUGCACUUCCCCUCAGAGAAGGUAUGCCGCUAGUUUACUGACCCUAACUAUAUCGUUGAAGACUCUAAGCAGGUCAGAAAACGACGCAACCGCAACCAGAGGAGGCAAAUCAUCAAGGACGGAUGGGCAGACUAUGAAGGAGAAGUGAUAAGGUUUGAAGACAUACAGUUUAAAUAGAAUUAUCUUGAGGAGACCAUAGCACCGAGUCAAGUGUGGAGAGAGAAGAUAACUAUACAUGAAGAAAAGGCGCCGCCGGAAGCACCGACUCCGCCACCCAACGAAUCCCAGGAUGACUGAGAAAACGGAGAGUCCCGAUUCGGAGGACUUAAAAACACCGAACGCCUUGCCAAGAGGUAAACUUGGUAGUUAUCCUUUCCCUUUCAAAUAUUUAAAAUAGUUUGCUUAGUUAAUUAGGUUCAUACUAUCCUAAAAAGAAAAUAAAAAUGUUAAAAAAUAGUAAGCCCCAUGUGAGUAUACGAGUAGCAUGAAACUCAUAAGUACAUUCACUGUGGUGGCAUAAAAAUAAAAUAACUAUUUCUUUUCUGCUUUAUAAAACGAAAAUAUAAAAAUAGGGAUUAAUAUUUAUUAAGGAAAGUCAACAUGAUAAAGGCUAGAUAUUUAUGGUAACACUUAAUCAGUUCCACAAAGCUUUGUUGUCUAUUUGAGCUCCACAAAAUUUAAGAAUCAAGAAGACUAGCAGAUGGAGGACAUUCCAAUCGUUGUCAGGACUGCCGACUUUCAAAUACACCUUUGCCACCUGCUAGCUACAUCAAGAGAAAUUACGUCAAAAUUCAGCUUGGGGGAGAGCACCCCCAUUUAUCCCGAUAAGUAUUUCUAUCUAUCUUUAUACUUAUACUAUAUUAAAAUAUACAUAACUAUGAAAAACCAAAUAAAGAUUUUGUGCCUAUGUAAAUAUAUGUCUUUUGCUUAGUGUGUUUAAUAAAUAAAUAAAGUGGCUAUGCCAAACUGUAUCUAAAUAAAACUCUAGCAUAGAUAUGAUGAAUAGUUGCUCUGCCUAAUUUGCAAAUUUGAAGUUCUCUCACUUGUUUAGAUAUAAUUGUUAUAAUUUAAAGCUUGCUCUAAACCUAAACUUGUGGGAUGAAAACUUGAUCUGAAGUCUAAGUUGUUAACGGAUACGAUAUGGGAAGGUUGAGCUGUUGUUUAUCUAUUCCUAGAGAUGCUAGAAUUCUGGAGAAUUUUAUCUUUGAAAAUCUUUAAAAUACUACAUGAUGAGUUCCUGUAUGAUGAGAGUUUAAAUUCCUACCACAGCCAUAUAUACAUGCUUGCUAGACUUUGAGCCACACAUUUGCUAUUUACUGCUUAUGAGCAUUGAGUGUGGUCAAGCUGUGUAGACCCUUAGGAGCUUGUCAUGUGGUUAAAUCAAGAUUCACUUGCACAUUCACUCACAUAUGCUGCUUCUACUCCGGAAGUACGCAUCCACAUAUAUCCACCCAUUUCCAUCUCCAGAACUACCCAAAAAAAUUCUACUCCUAAUUCGGGAGAGAAUAGCCAAAAACAUUUCUGUUUUUUCCCUGUGAAAUAAAUGCUCAACUUAUCUUGGUUACUACCACUUGCUAUAUUAUCUCAUGAGAUGAGUGCUCUAAAAAAAAGAGAAAAUAUGAGGAAAUAAAAAGGGACAAGUGCCCGGAACCUUGAAAGAAAAGAAAAAGUGAGACGAGAGGUAAAAAUGGACAAGUGUUCGACAGUAGAAUUAGGGGUACAAAAUACCCACCUAAGAGGAAAGAAAAACAAAAUACAAAGCAUCUCAUUCUCCUCAAAGUUUUAAAAGAGCAAGAAAGGUAUGUAUCCCCUCAAAAGAGCAAAAAGUAGAAUUAGACUUUCACCAUUGUUAUCACAAUCAUCACCAUACACCAUUCAUUCGCCACACAUGCACAUCUUGAUUUGACUUAUUGAUUUGUUUCUUUGGAUCCAUGGUUUGACUAUGUAAUAAAUGUCUUGUAAAUAUAUAUACUUUAUCUCCCACCUAUGAGCUCUAGAUAUCAAAAGCCUUAUUAGAGUAGGGUGAGAGAGAAGGCAAUGUCACUAUGCCUUAUACCACAAAUACUACAUACUUUGAGAGAAGGCAUGUACCAUCACUGCCUUGGUAAGGAUCCAGAAAUACCACAAAAGAGAGAUUUGAGAGAGUCAUACAAGGAAUCUCUAAGUUUUAUUUGAAAAUCUGCAAAAACUCCAGAGCUAUAGCUGAUCAAGAAUAAGAGACAUGGCACUUGAUUAGACCGUUCUAUCUUUUAACUACUCAAGACAGAAGUGACGGUUACAAGUCCCAUGGUGAAAGGUAAAGUGAAUAAGUUUUAAGUCUUGACAGUUUACUCUAACAUAGAGAUGAGAUCUUGUUUAAAGCACGUGUACCGUCAAUUUUCAAAGGUAUUUUAGCAACUUCUGAUCCAUCGCUGAGAUUAUCCUUGCUCAGGGACGAGCAACAGGUAAGCUUGGGGGAGUUUGUUGACGGUCAUUAAGUAUCAAAUUUAAUUAUCAAAUAAACAAAGAAAAGGAUCCAAAUGCAAUCAACAUCUAGACUUAGGGCUUUAUCUGACAGAAUUCCACGAGUUUUGGUGUUUGUCUAUUUCUGCAGGGGGUUAUCAGGAAAUACGGAAGAAAGGCCCACACGUCAGGAUUACAUAGAGAUAUUAACGUGUCGCACAAUUAUCUUACAUCUAGAAGACUCCAGAAGCCACGGGAACGAAGCGGAGGUGAAACGGGGCCUGGCCCUGGGCGCCCGCCCAGGAGACCAGGGCGCCCGCCCACCUCUGCAGUCCAAACAGGACUCUCUUUCGGGAUCAAUCUCCACCGACCUAAAGGAUCAAGGAUAACCGUUCAAUCAAUGUCGGUUUGAUCCAACGGCCCAUAUUCACUUGAAGGGACUAUAAAACUAGACCCCCUGGCCCCUGGAGGAGGGAGCCUCUCAACCCUAAUUCAUUAUUACUCAAGGGAGAAGAAGCCUCUGAUCAAGCCUAGAGCCACCACAUCAAUUAGACAUCUAGAUUAACAUAGCUACAUAGGAUUAGAACUAGAAGGAGUCAAUCUUCGAUUGGUUUCCGGAUUUGUCAAGAGGAUUCUUGGUAAUUCUCUAAUUGUUCAUCUUUGUUCUUCAAUAUUAUGAAUAUGACAUUGUUCUACUUCAAUAUAUUGCUUAUGACUUUGCUCUACUUGUUUAUAGUCAAGAUUAUAUUGUUCUUAGUUUAUCAUAGUUAUAUACUUGGCUUAGUUAGAUUGGAUCUAUAUACAUGUUUAGGAUCGUAUAGAGUUUAUCCAUUGGAUCCAUGGGUAAAUAAUAGAUAUUAUGUAGGCGUGGUGCUUAUACCGUAUUUAUCUGUGAUUGUACCCAAUAUGCCAUAUCGCGGGGUAGUUCGUGAUAGUGACAGCUUCAUUGAUUCUUAUAUAGUCCCCCUCUCAUGUAUUGGGUUGGCAGAGCAACAUUAUUACAGGGAAGUGAUUGCUAUGUUUCUCAUUUACCUUGCUAAUAUCACUAUGCUUGGGCGUAGUCUUGUCUCACAAUGAUUGCUAAGUAUAAUUGCACUAACUAUGAUAAUGCUAGACUAUUUAGUUGAGAAUAACUUAGGAAAUAUUCUUGUAGUUCAUUCUAAUUCCAUUCUAAUGACUUUCUAGAGUAUCUAAUUGAGGUGCUUAUCAUAUUUAUUAUGUGGCUAAGUUAUGCUGAUAAGAUUAAUUAUCUUUGUCACUAUUCAUUACUUUAUAUAUUCUUUAUGUGACACUUACCCCUGUAUGAAAAAGUUAGAUAAAUGUUCUCAAUUAUACAUGCAAUGAUAGAUACUCAAUCUCAUAUUCUAUUCUAUAAUCAAUAUUGAUGGUUGCUAAUCCCUUCCCAGUGGUAAAAAUAUAAAUAACGAUACCUGGAAUACUUCCCGGUUAAAAUGCUACAUCGGUAUUAAUCUGUGCGCUUGCAGAUCCCAUUCAUUAUUUAUUUUAGAUGAGCAAUUGCAUAUUUCAAUACCGCGUCUCUCAUAUCAUGCUGGGGAUGACAACUUGGCUUAAGUGGUAUGAGGGAUAUGUUUGGCAUUUUUGGCACCGUUAUCAGAAUUAGAAAACUAAGUCUACUUUUGGUAAUGAAGUUAAGAAUACUCAACAUUCAUAUCUCUUCAUCCAUGCCAAUUUGGUCCUUGCUCCAGUUGACAAUCUUGUAGAACUCGUUUAGUACUCCAACUUUGUUAACUACAUCAUCUCCUAAUUCGCCACGGUUUGGGAGUUAAUCAUCGUCAAAGUGGCUCUAUCAGACAAGCGUCGCGGGUUCUGAAUGGACGUUGUCCUCGCCGUCGUGGCCGACCAGCGCAGCACCUGGCUGCCAUUUGGCGACCGUACGCCGGUGUUGGCCCCACUCAUUAGGUCGUCGACGCCAUCAUGGACGCCACGACACCCCGUACUCGCCAGCGCCCGUCCACUCUCUCCCUCCCUCUCUCUCGUGACUCUGACGGCGAAAGCGCCAUCGCCAUUGCCACCGAGAGCUUCUCGAGCUCCUCGCGCCUUCGUCUCUUGUCUCACCUCUCCUCCGAGCACCUCCAAGUCCGCCUCGAGCUCCUCCAUCUUCUCCACCUCUUGGCUGGACGAGAUCUCCCCGAGGUGAGCCACAUUUCGUGAGUUUGCCGUCGUCGGGUUCAUGGCCGUCGCGACCUCGAUUCUGGCGAACCUCGCCGCUGCUCCAUCCUUGUCUUCUUUCUUCUCUCCGAGUCGCGUUAGCACUUGCCUAGUUCAAGGUCGUGGUCUGUGUCAUGCCAUUCCGGCCUUGGUGCCACCAUCGUGCGGGAACACGGCCACUGUUGACACUUGCUAACACCACUUGAAUACUAGGUUGUCAUCCCCAGCAUGGCACUGGAGUGUACUAUGGUAUUUAUACACACACAGAUAAAUCCGCAAGCGCACGGAUACCGUUGUAGCUUUUACCCGGUAAAAGGUUUUAUCGUAUCCACAAGGAAACGGGAGAACUGAUCUACGCUCUAACUUAACCUAGAUAGAUAGGUAGGUGUAAAUAGGAAAGAUAGUAGAAUUGAAUAAGAACAAUAUUAAAGGUAAGAUAACAAUGGGUGAUAAUAUGGGAAUAGAGAGUAGAGCAAUCUAGUAUAUGGGCGAUGGUAGGAGGAUAGAGAGGAUAACUAUGGUUUCUCUACUUCAAAGGGGUAUGUCUAAGUCUGGGACGAACCACGUGAUAAGAAUACACCACAAAGGAUGCUUAUCCAUAGGCCGAUAAACCCUACCAGUCUUGCUAACAGGAGGUGGACUACAGGGGACCAACGUAACUGUCACCUACGCGGCCUACCACAUGAUCUGGCUAGACAGGGGAUAUCCACAAGUAAUCUAGGUCUAAGCACCACGCUUACACCUAUACUACAACUCUCACCUAUAGCGUCCUAUAGAUUAAAGUACUCAAAAGAGUUGUGAACCAGAACAUACAUGGAUAGUAAUUGCAUAAUGAAAUAGAAGUAGAUUACCAGAGUCAUCCCAUGAGCAAGCUUGAUUAGAGCUUGAUCAUGGUGAAGUACAACCGGAGGAAGAACCAACAGGCCGGCCUCUCCUCCAAUCCUCCCUCGCUCUCCAUCUCGCUACUAUCUAGAUCUACUAUAGUUUAGAGAUGAGAGGAGAGCUCUCAUCUCCAAACCCUAGCUUUUGCUCUGUCUAUGAAUAAUGAAUAGGGAUCAAGGGGUGCCUCCUCCAGGUGCCAGGAGGCCUGCUUAUAUAGUCCCCUCAAGUGAAUCUGGGCCGUCGGAUCAAACCGACAUUGAUCGCACAGUUUUCCUUGAUCCUUUAGGUUGGUGGAGCAUAAUCCGCGAGGUUGAUCGUGAUUGGUGGAAAAAGCAGGGCGGGCGCCCUAAGGAGUAGGGCGGGCGCCCUUUUCGUAAGCCCGCUCGGCUUCCCGUUCGUUCCUGUGGCUUCUAGAGUCUUCUAGAUGAUAGAAAAUCGCACGGCACGUUAAUAUCUCUAUGUAAACCCGACAUGUGGGCCUUUCCUCCAUAUUUCAUGAUAACCUCCUGUAGAAAUAGACAAACACCAAAACUCGUGGAAUUCUGUCAGAUAAAACCCUAAGUCUAUGUGUUGGUUGCAUUUGGAUCCUUUUCUUUAUUUAUUUUAUUAUUAUAUUUGGUACUUAAGGACCGUCAACAACUCCCCCAAGCUUACCUCUUGCUCGUCCCUGAGCAAGGAUGGACUCAAGAGUUUCUUUAGUGGUUUUAUGCCUUAAAGGUACACAUGCGGCUAGGGUAAACUGUUAAGAUUUAAAACUUACUCAUAUUACCUUCCACCAUGGGGCUUGCAACCGUCACUUGUGUCUUGAGCAGUUAAAAGAUAGAACGGUCAAGUCAAGCGCCAAAGAUUGAGUGUGUAGCAUUUUAGCUAAUAUGAUUAGGAGUGUGGGAUCACAAGGGUGGAAGGACUAAACAUGUUGAAUCGAUUGGGUUGGUUAACCUAGAGUUGUAAAUCAUACAUGUUUGUCUCUUUUAUUCAUAUGAAUGCCAAAACUAAGGAGAAGCUUAUAAAAGUGAUAGUCAAGUACCUUAAGAUGUUACCUUACUUGAAGAGUGAUGGUACAGUAUCACCUUGUGGAAGCUUUCCUUUCUUAGCGGUUGUGCAUCGUGUUCGUGGCACCCUCCAUGGAUCAUCUCUUAUGAGCUAUGUCUUCCUUGUGUAAAUUGUUAAACUUGAUGUGUGUCUCUCUUUGUCUCCAAUGUGAGUUUAUCUCAGGACUUCCCAGGUCGAUAUUGAAAGUUUUCCUACAGGGGUUAGUCCGACAAAAUAUACCAAUGUCUACACAAGCAGUUUUAGUUCAAUAACCGAACUAGACUCCAUGUCAAAUCAGAUUAAGGAAGACUAUUUAACCUAAGCACCACGCUUAAUUUAAAUGCCAAUGGAAGUAUGCCGAGUACUUCCAAACCAACACUUACUUGUGAAUAGACAAAGGUAGUAUGACAACAUUAUAGAGAUCUACUCAAGUGGAGAUAAAAAUAGAAUGAUUAGCGUUUAACAAAUUGAGCAUGUCUCAAAGGUAGGGACAACCAACAUAGGAACAUGACAAAGGAUGUUUUUAUGUAAGGUACUCCCCCAAGCUUGAAUUUUGCAAAAUUCAAGUUUGGAUGAAUUUAAUUCAGUGUUGCAUAAUGAUUGGUUGGAGAUACCUUGUGCUUGUCGUUCAUCCGAUCUUCUUGCUCCAAUCCUGGAAAGGUUAGUGACAAGAAUACCUGAAGGAAUAUUUUCACAAUUAUCGUUAUACGCUCAAUGCACAAGGCAAUAUGGCAAGGUCAUGUUAUGAUCUGAUAAGCGCUUAUUUUAGGACACUAAGCUUGUCCUUGGGAAACCAUCAAUUUAUGUCGGCAAAGUGGUUUCCCUACCAAUGCUGACAUAUAUCAAGAUCAACUCAACGAGAUCUGCAAUAUUUAUUAUAGACAUAUGCAUCGUCAACUGCCCUUUUAAAGUUUUUAUAAAUAGAAAGGAAGAGGGGGUUGGAGAUCUCAAAUGUGGUGAUGUUGGAGAGACCAAUAGAUUGGGAAGAUGUUGCAUAUGAGCAUGGAGUAAAUGAAGUGGCUAUGAAAUAAAUUCCAUGCUCAUUAAUGUUAUCUCCGUCUCCAAUCUGAAUGUUCAGAGUUUCUCCUAGAUUGGUCUCACCAUGUCCUCUUUUGUAGUUGGAUGAAUAUCAUCUUCAAAGGGAGUCAAGAACUCACCAUUUGAAAUUGAGCCAAAGUCAGAAUCCAUUAAGGCUUCUUUCUUAUCCAUCCAUUCUACACAUUCUAGCCAUUUAGAACAUGUGAUCAGGAAAGGGGAGGUGUUAGAAUUUUCUAUAUGGCUUAGCUCUCCUUCUAUGACAUUACUUGACAUGUUAUCCUCAUGGUCUUUAUAACUCCUAUGGUUUGAUCGUCUUGAUGGGUUGCUAGGAUCAUCAUGAGACUGUAAAGGAGAGGGAUAAGAGGGGUCUCUAAGGUCAAGGAUGGAUUUAGAAUUUGUGAACAUGGAAGGGGAGUAGACAGAAUCUUCUAUAUGGUUUAGCUCUCCUUCACUUGAUAUUUCAUCCUCGACUUCUUCAUAACAGGAACUAGGAUAUUCUCUAAGAGAACCAUUAUUGCAAGGAUUUGAAUUAUCCCUGCUUGAAGAUCUCUUAUGGAACCAGAAGUCUAAACCAUCAGUAUCUGAAAGAUUUAAGGUCGGAAUUCCUUCCCCCCUUAGAGAAUUUUGGGGUAUUGAAGGUUUAGGAUCGAUAGAUAAAGUUUGGGAUUGAAGUGGUUGUGAUCUGGCUAUCGAAACUUCUUCUUGUCUAGGAACUGGUUCUUUCCCUUUCUUAGGGAUAUAAAUGCUAGGAAACUUUCCACACAAUGUAUCAAUUAAAUCCCUAGCUUCACUAGCAGGUAGGUGAUAAAAGGAUCCUCUAGAGGCUGUAUUCAAGGUUUGCUUAUUUUCCCUAUUAAGGCCCUCAAAAAAGUGAAUUAGAAGAACUUCUUCUUGAAUAGAAAGCUUUUGGCCAGUGAGAGUAAGGUUAAUAAAGCGGUCCCAUGAUUUGCCAAGAGAUUCUUCUUCUAGUAGUCUAAAAGAAAGAAUCUCACGCCGAAGUUCUGCCACUUUGGAGAUUGGAAAAUAUUUAAAAAGAAAACUAUUAUAUAACUCCUUGCAAUCUCCAUGAACACUCCCUACUUUGAGUUUGUACCAAUGUCUAGCUUUUCCUGUUAAAGAGAACGGAAAGAGCUUCCAUUUAAGGGUCUCAUCGGACAUGCCUUCUAUGCGAAGCAGGUCACAAACUCGAUAAGACUCUCUUAGUUGUGUGUAUGGGUUUUCCUCACCUUCUCCUAAGAAAGGUUGUUUUUUAACAAAUUCUAUGUAUUCGGGGUCUAUCUCAAAACUAGAUGCUAUGAUAGGCUUUGAAGAUUUUGGUGGUUCGAGAUGUGUGCCCAUAGGUCUAUGAAAUCCAUAGAUAGACAUGUUUGAAUUCAUGAUAGACCAGAGAUCAAGGAUUAGAUAAGAAUAGUAGAGAUAAGGCGAAGGAUAAAAGCAAAAAAUAUUUUUUUUAUUUUUUAUUUUUUAGAAAAUGAUUAAGCUAGUUCGCAGUCAACUCAGCAACCGUUUCCCCGGCAACGGCGCCAAAAAUGCUUGUUGACACUUGCUAACACCACUUGAAUACUAGGUUGUCAUCCCCAGCAUGGCACUAGAGUGUACUAUGGUAUUUAUACGCACACAGAUAAAUCCGCAAGCGCACGGAUACCGUUGUAGCUUUUACCCGGUUAAAGGUUUUAUCGUAUCCACAGGGAAAUGAGAGAAUUGAUCUACGCUCUAACUUAACCUAGAUAGAUAGGUAGGUGUAAAUAGGAAAGAUAGUAGAAUUGAAUAAGAACAAUAUUAAAGGUAAGAUAACAAUGGGUGAUAAUAUGGGAAUAGAGAGUGGAGCAAUCUAGUAUAUGGGCGAUGGUAGGAGGAUAGAGAGGAUAACUACGGUUUCUCUACUUCAAAGGGGUAUGUCUAAGUCUGGGACGAACUACAUGAUAAGAAUACACCACAAAGGAUGCUUAUCCAUAGGCCGAUAAACCCUACCAGUCCUGCUAACAGGAGGUGGACUACACGGGACCAACGUAACUGUCACCUACGCGGCCUACCACACGAUCCGGCUAGACAGGGGAUAUCCACAAGUAAUCUAGGUCUAAGCACCACGCUUACACCUAUACUACAACUCUCACCUAUAGCGUCCUAUAGAUUAAAGUACUCAAAAGAGUUGUGAACCAGAACAUACAUGGAUAGUAAUUGCAUAAUGAAAUAGAAAUAGAUUACCAGAGUCAUCCCAUGAGCAAGCUUGAUUAGAGCUUGAUCAUGGCGAAGUACAACCGGAGGAAGAACUGACAGGCCGGCCUCUCCUCCAAUCCUCCCUCGCUCUCCAUCUCGCUACUAUCUAGAUCUACUAUAGUUUAGAGAUGAGAGGAGAGCUCUCAUCUCCAAACCCAAGCUUUUGCUCUGUCUAUGAAUAAUGAAUAGGGAUCAAGGGUGCCUCCUCCAGGGGCCAGGGGGGCUGCUUAUAUAGUCCGCUCAAGUGAAUCUGGGCCGUCGGAUCAAACCGACAUUGAUCGCACGGUUUUCCUUGAUCCUUUAGGUCGGUGGAGCAUAAUCCGCGAGGUUGAUCGUGAUUGGUGGAAAAAGGAGGGCGCGCGCCCUAAGGAGUAGGGCGGGCGCCCUGUCCCAGAGCCCGCUCGGCUUCCCGUUCGUUCCUGUGGCUUCUGGAGUCUUCUAGAUGAUAGAAAAUUGCGCGGCACAUUAAUAUCUCUAUGUAAUCCCGACAUGUGGGCCUUUCCUCCAUAUUUCCUGAUAAGCCCAUGUAGAAAUAGACAAACACCAAAAAUCGUAGAAUUCUGUCAGAUAAAACCCUAAGUCUGUGUGUUGGUUGCAUUUGGAUCCUUUUAUUUCUUUAUUUGAUUAUUAUAUUUGGUACUUAAGGACCGUCAACAGCCACCGCACCGCCGCGCUCACUGCCGACGACCACCCCGCACGUGAGCAGACUCACCGGAGCCAUUAGGGUUAGGCGUUUCUACCUAGAAAGCUUCGUGCUGUCUCACUCAUGCUUAAGCCACCCUUCCCCGACGUUUUACCGGUCGGAGAUGGCCGGCGUAUGCCGAGGUAGCUCCACCGUGCCGCCAUGGCCGACGGCGACCUCUCUGCGUCGCUCUAACCCUAGAGCCACCUACCUCUAUCGACGCGGAAUCACUGAAGGAGCACGUUGGUGCCCUUGGAUCCGCCGAAGAAGCUCACUGUCGGCGAGCAUUCGCCGGCGAGUGUGUUCUCUGUUUUCUGGGACGCUGGCACGCGGGUCCCACUGUCAGUGACAUAACGGCUCCCUCCUCUCUUUUAUUUAAAAUCCAGAUUUCUUGCAAUCUUGCAAAAAUCAUAUCUCCAGUUUUUGAGCUCCAAAAGUUGUGAAACAAAUUUUGUGAUGAUCCAUGGGAUGGCUAGUUUUUAAUAAAAACAUAAUAUGCACCAUGUGUUCUAUGAAAAAUAAUUAUUAUGAAUUAAUCUUGUUAAUUAUGUGUAAAUUCAUACCUUUUGAUAUACUGAUCCAAUUGCUGUGAAAAUUUUAUGCUAUGCUCUAGAUAGUACUAGAAUGCUCUAUUAAAUAUCUCAUGAUUUUUGGAGUGCUGUAUCUCUGAUAUGUAAUUUAUGUCCUUCCUAUUACUUAAAUCCAUGUUUAAAUCAUAUUAAAUGUUAUAUGCUUAUGCUGGUGUUCUCCUUUGGUGUCAAGCUUGUUUAUAGUAGUAGCAACAUGUAAAUACUCUGAAAUCUGUUUGACACUAUCAAUGCCAUGUUUCUUAAUUUAUGAAAUAAGCACCUUGUUACAUGUUAAUUACUUAUCUUAAGUUUGGCAUGUGCAAUUGCUCUAAAAAUUUUAUGGUAAUGUUCUGGUGCCAUGCUUGUGCCUCUGUAAUUUUUGUAGAGUUUUCUGAGCACUUUUGUUGGUAUCUUGUAAUUAUGUCCUUUUAUGGAAUUAAAUUGAUAAAUGCCUUGUUAUUAUGUAUUUAGUGGUCAACAUAUGAUGUUCUGGUAAUCUUAGAUUAUGCUUGUGCUUAUAAGCCACUUGGUUGGCAUUAAAUAUGUUUUUACUAUGUCAUCAAAUAAUUAAUUGAAGGUUCUAUAGCUGUUCUUGACAGCAAGGGAGUAAUCUGAUCUUUGCUUGAUGAUAACUUGGUUUUCUGACUAACUUGUCUAAAUCAAAGAUGUUGUAAACUUUGCAUGCUAGCUGCAGUUUAAAAUUUGGGAUCAAUUGAAGUAACACCCAAAAUCUUGUUUCCAAGUUAUAGGAAUUAAAUUGAUUUAUUUAAGUACUUUUGUGAGCAUUUGAAUCUAGCAAAUAAAUAAUUUUGUGCAAAUUAAAAUUCAUCAUAAGUUUAGAAACAUGAAUUUGCAUUCAUGCUGGAGCAUAUUUUUAUUUGUGCUGUGAGAUUUUGGAUUGAAGUUAAUUGUGUUCAAAAUUCUAUUUGAAAAGGGCUUUGAAAAAAAAAUAAAAAAAGAGAAGAAAGGGGAAAGAACCCCGCAGCCAACCCCUCACGGCCUGCUUGCCCCCGCACGCGGCCCAGCCCAACUCGCAGGCCAGCCAGCCCAGGCCUUGGCGCGUCCCCUUCUCCCCUCCCUCCUCUGGCUGAUGGAUGGGCCCGUUCUUCUCUCCCUGACGCGUGGGGCCCGCGGAUCAGCGCUCUCUUCUCCUUCCUUGCGUAACCGAGCAGGACACCGGCUGCGUCGGGAAAGAGAUCCGACCCGAUCCCAUCUUGGACGGGAUUUGCUACCCCCGAGGCCCUAUAAAGCAUCCCGCGACGCCCCGCGUCGUUCUUUUGCGUCUAAAUUGCGAAACCGAGCCCUAGCCGCCGUCUUCCUCAGCUUGGAAAUCUCGCUGAGGUCGGGGACGAACUGCCGCACGCCGCGAGCCCCGCUCCUUGCCCUUCGGCCCCAACCGAGCACCUCAUUGAACUCGCGGUGAGCUCCUCUACCCCGUGCUGUUUUCCUUUCGCGAAACGGUGCUCGGAAUCAAGAAGCCCGUCGUCGCCGGCGAGGUUCUUUCGGCCGGCAAUGGAAGCCACCGCACCGGAGCAGGAGCCGGCCGGCCACUGGCCCCCUGGACGCGUCCAAACGGUCGGAUCAAUCUUGGAUGGCCAGGAUUAGAAGAUACCCCUUCGGGGGUAUUUUGUUAAAGAGACCCUCAGUUUUCCUUUAUUUGAACCCGCCGUCCAUUAGGUAAUAUCCAAAGUACGCUUCCUCGGCUCAGAAGACGUAAUCGGCUGGCUGAGUUCAAAUGGCGCUUUCUGAAAAUUACAGUUUUGCCAUUGGGAGUAUUUUGGCCAUAAAAUACUCAUUUUAACUCCGUUUUUGUCCAUUCAAAUUCCGUUAGAUUCGUAUUUACGAGCUCUACAUGUUAGAAGUAUUAGUUUACUGUUUUGAAACUUUUUAUUUCUGCAGUAGCAUUUAAUAAAUUAUUUCUCUAUAGGAAAUCUUGGAAAAUGCAUAACUCCUCCGUUUUAAUUCCGAUUUUCGUGAACUUUACGUUUGUGUGAUCGUAGCGCUGCGUAGAAUAUUUUGAUAAACUUUUAUCUUUGUUUUACCACUGUUUGGUGUAUUGUUCUAAUUAUAUCUUGUUUGCUUCGUGUAUGAUUGUCUGCAUUGGAUUGCGUGUUGUUGAUUGAUGAUUGGGAUUAGACGGUGAGCCGUACGUUGGUGCUCCAGAUCAAGCAUUUGAAGACCAGCAGGCUCAGGAGAGCUUUGAGCAAGGCAAGUAUAACUUGGGAUCGUCCUUGUUACCUAUUCGCUUAUAACUACACAUAUAUAUCAUAUGCAUGCUAUCACCUUGUCGACCUUAGCAAAAUCAUAGAUGAUUGUUACCUGUAUUCCUUGUUACCUACUUGAUAUGCAUUUGGUGUAGAUGUGCUAGUGCUUGAUAUAAUCCAUGAUCUUGUAAGAUAAUUAAUAGCUAUGCAAUGAACGUUAAAUGAUGACAAAUAACUGUAUGCACUGUUCGCCUAAACGGCCGUUUAGACCGUUUAAACACCGUGUAAACGCUACACAAUGGUACACCGUUUCCGUUUAAUCAUCUAUUUAGUCCGUUUAAUUGACCGUUUAGCCCGUUUAAUGGACUGUUUAGCCCGAAUAAUGGCUAAACGGCAGGUGACCGACUGUUUACCGUUUAGCGUUUAGGAAAACAUUGACUGUAUGAGAUCUUGUCUGUAAGUGAUCACCGGGACAACAGUGCAACCAUGAGGGCUAUAAUAGCUCUGGCUUUAGCUCAGUAUGAAGACGUUUUCUAGCUUGUUAGAGGUUACCUGAAAGGGCGGAGGGGCUGAACCGUUUUGGGUAUAGUGUGACCUUUGUCUGUAUGAGUAUAGGCUGCGAGUCAUUGUGCCAUCGGAAGGGGGGCUCUAUAUCUGCGCGCAAAGGAAACCUUGCGGCCCUAACAUGUUAGACGAACUUUUGAAAGGCUUCAUAGUGAUCCCUGCCGACCUUCCUUGGAAGUGGGUUAAGAGAUUAGCUACCUCGGGCGAAAGGGUAAAUCAUGACUCAUGGGUAAAGAUGUACAACCUCUGCAGAGUGUAAAACUGGUAUACUAGCCGUGCUCACGGUUAUGAGCGGCCUUAGGGGUUCUUGCUGCGCCGACAAUGAGCUUAUUAAGUUGUUAUGUUCAUUUGAUUAUCGUUUAUGCUAUGAAUUAAUUAUGCUUACACUCGAUCAUGUGAUUAAUGAAUUAUUUCUACUACCUUGACAUUUGCUAUUUAAUUAUGAACUUGCUAUCCAAUAUUAAAAGCUAAUUGCAGUCAAACCAGUGUCAGCUAUUUGAGCCUCAUGAAUCCCUGGUUAUACUUGUUGAGUACGAUAUGUGCUCACUCUUGCAAUCUCCCAACACCUCAGGAUAUGAUAAUGAAGAUGACUGGAAUGAGGAUUAUCGUUAUGAGUACUAGGUUUGGAGUCAACCAGUCAACAGUGUCCCUGUGUGGAGUUUCCGUCGAGAGCGUGGUUUACUUUAUGCUAUCAUUUUUGUAUGAGACUAUGUGAUAUAUUAUAUUCCGCUAUGUAAUAGACACAGCAAUGGUACAUUUGAGAUUUGUCUACUUAUGUGUGCGACUGUUUCUGGGGCACAUAUGAGUCUUUUAUGCAGCCUAUUUUGUUCUUAAAAUAUGGGUGUGACAAAUUGGUAUCAGAGCUUUGUUGACUGUCGGACGCAAGCCUAGUUAGAAAUUGGCCGUCUUAAGGUUUUGAAAUUGCUACAAAAUCCUUGUUCUACAAACCUUGAUAUUUUCUUCUACAAUAUAUCCUAUUCAUCUUCACCUUGUCGCUUCUUUUAAAAGACUUGUUCUCAUCACCACUCCUUGCUUUGAAUAUGCUUUUAGAACCUUCUCUUACCACCUGCUUACAUAGUUGAAAGAGAAUUUUAGGAUCUUUGCCCUUAAUAGGAAGAGAACGAUAGUACCGCAAGUUGAGUUAAUGCUUGAAGUGUGAACCUUUGAUGCUUGGUUUGGUUUGUUAUUAUGCUUAUGCUUGAUUUGGAUCUUUGUAAUGAGUGUAAUGACCUUGUGGAUUUCUUCUGCAAUUUCAUUUAGUUUAUAGGCUUAAGGCAUAAGGAUUAAUGAACUAAAUAGUGGGGUUAGUUAAAAUUCUGUAUCUGUCCUUUGCUGUUUUCUGGAGCAGUCUGCAAAGAAUCUGGUACAUCUCAAAAUCUGUUCGUGCAAUGUUCAUGAAAUUUUUCUGGGAACAAGUAGACUUUCCUAUCUUUCCAAUGCCGUAAGAAUGACCAUAUUAUCUAUUAUGAGCUGUGAGUUAUGACUGUUUAAAGUUGAGGUGUCUGCGCAGUCUGGAAUUCUAGAACAGUUUCGGUUGUACACAGUUUUUAAUUAACCUAACGUUGGAAUCUGGUAAUAUGAUCUAAAUGAAAGUUGUAGAAAAUUUCUUUAUCUUUACAAAGGUGUACAGCAUGUAUCCUUUUGAAUUCUGGAACUCGAGAUAUGACUGAUUUUCUGAUCUGCUGAUGUUGGAUAUUACCCAGAAAAUUUCAGAUUCCGUUAACUCUUGUAAUUGUCAUGUUGGACAUUACUAAGAUGUGUUUAUAUGCCUUGGAAUGCAGAUGGCAGCAAGGGGAAGAGGCAGGGGCAGAGGCCGUGGCAAUGGCAAUGGCAAUGGUGGCAAUGCCCCAAUCACCGUGGAGGAACUCAUGCAAACCUAAAAUCAGAUGAUGCACGUUUUCAUGCAGCACCUGCAGCAACAACCUCCACCAACACCACCACCUGUUCAUGUGAGGGACAAGCGUGGAGAGUUUAUGAAGGGAAGACCUCUGGUAUUUACACACUCAGCUGAUCCCAUGGAGGCAGAUGAUUGGUUACGUGCUGUGGAGAGGCAACUAAACAUAGCUGCGAACACAUGGUUUUUACAUAACCAUUGUGGAGUACCCUUGUUGUGUGAUGAGCGAUUGUCAACAUGCCAACAUUUUGGUGGGUUGUUGGUUCCGUGGUUCUACUGAUAUCCUGGCACAGGGUUAUGUGUCGAAACGGUGUCUCUUGGCUUCGUGAUGUGCAGGUGUGGAGUCUGGAUGCGGUGGCAAUGGUCGGGUGAAGGUCAAGUAGGGCGUGCCGUGCUGACGGACCGGUUGCGGUGAAAGGCGGACGUGAGGCUUGGACUGACGGACCAGACGACCGGGUGGCCAGCUGCGGUAGCUGACACUUAGGACAUCGAUAAGCGCAAGUGUACACGGCGGGGGACGCGUACGGGCUACGCUACUCGCGGCGGGUUUCGCGGGUUUGGGCCUCAAAACCCGGGCGGAGGUCCCGAUGCGGACGGAUGGCACGUGGCGGCAUCGGUGAGAUCGCUUCGGAGCGAGGCUACCGAUGAGGAGGCGCGGUGGCCGUCGGAUUUAGGUCAUGUCGAGUUGGACUAGAAUGCCCCUGGGGCUAGCUAGUUCGCUCAAAAAUAUCUAGGGACAUUUGGGGAAUAUGUAAUAUGCCUGAUAAAUAAACCGGGGAGUUCCCCAUCUCCCCUUACCCCACUCUCCACCUCUCUCCCACCGCUCUUCCUGCUGUUUUCCCCGUAGCCCUUCUCUGGUUUUAGCUGGUCAUGUGAGAAGUCAAAAAUUUGUGUAACAAACUUGUGAUUUUCGAGUUGGGAAUGGAGGCCCGUAUCCUCCAUGUGUCCUGCGGGAUUUCUAACUUGAGCCUGUGAUCUUAGUUCUUCUCUUUAUGCUGUGUUUUUCGUUUUUGGGAAGUUUUUCGUUCUUGUCUGUGAUCUGUGAUUCAUGAAGUUUGAGUUGGGUUCGAGCCAUGAUUCUUUAGGGAUAGCUCACCAACAUCAUGGAGAUCAUCUGUGCCAAGUUUGAGAGUGAAUCGUUUUGUUUUGAUGGAGCUUCAUUCGAUUUUUGGUUGAGUCGCCCUGCUGUUCAUAGCGCCCAGGCUCAUCCUGUUCUGCAUCCCCUCCGCGUGCGUUCUCUCCUCUCUGUCUGUUGUGUCUGGGCUGGGAAGGACAUCAGUGAAGAUUUGUGCUGAGCGCCCUCGUACUGCUCGAUUUCUUUUGCAAAUCAAUACUCAGCGUGGAAUCUAGCAGUGCAGCAUCUGGAGUAGUACUGGGUGGAGCACGUCAUCUAAUCAAGAUUGUCUUUUCUUGUUUCUUGUCUUUAGCUCUUGAUUGGUUAUCAGCUUUUCAUCCAACCGUGAUUUAAUUCAAGCAUUUCUUGGUCCACGCUUGGGGAUUCAAGCAACGAAGGACACUGCAGUACAGAUUGUGACCAGGUCAUUGCUAGCACUCGCCAGGAACUCUGGCUGCUCACGUUGAGCAGGAAGAUGACAUUGCAGUUCUGACUGAUUUGUUUUUGGCUCAGUGAAGUUCUACUCUUUGCGUUCGACAGCUAAUCUUUUGGCAAUUGUUUUAUUCCAUCUUGCUUGAAGUAUUCACGGUUGAAAUUUUAUUUCCCUCAGUGAAUGGAUCAAUCAGAGGACAUGAGCACCUAACUGUGCAGACUCAAGAACUCUUCCACUCUGUUCGGUGUUACUUCAAUUUUCAGAAGAUUUUUUUUGGUCUUUUUCCUCAGCUCCGAUUUUCUGUUUUACGUGUACCUCAGUCGUCUGGGCUCUGAAUUCAGUUCCGUCUGUUGUGUUGGAUUUCUAUCACUCCAAAGAAUUUUUAAGUGCUCCUGUCACUAGUUGAUUUGAGUAUUUUAGUUUUGGAACGUGCUUGUGUUGGGCGGUGAUUUUGGGACAGUGGCCAAAAAUAUUUCGAAAGAAAUUUGAGGCUCCCAUUCACCCCCCCUCUGGUCGCCGUUUUCGGUCCUUCAAU